GUCUGGUGCCAGCAGCCGCGGUAAUUCCAGCUCCAAUAGCGUAUAUUAAAAUUGUUGCAGUUAAAAAGCUCGUAGUUGAAUUUCUGCUGCAUUGCAUCUUCUUUUUGAUGAGUUGAUGUAUUGUGGCUUAUUUCGGAUGAUACUUGUAUUAUCCGGAUGAUUACUUUGAGAAAAUUAUAGUGCUCAAAGCAUGCUUUUGCCUUGAAUAGUUUAUCAUGGAAUAAUAAAGUACGACUUUGGUUCUAUUUUGUUGGUUUUAGGUACCAAAGUAAUGGUUAAUAGGAACAGUUGGGGGCAUUCUUAUUUAACUGUCAGAGGUGAAAUUCUUAUAUUUGUUAAAGACGAACUACUGCGAAAGCAUUUGCCAAGGAUGUUUUCAUUAAUCAAGAACGAAAGUUAGGGGAUCGAAGACAAUA
Molecule: ribosomal RNA, 416 nt
Filed under: Theileria luwenshuni
Lineage: Eukaryota; Apicomplexa; Aconoidasida; Piroplasmida; Theileriidae
Description: SSU rRNA
Rfam family: Eukaryotic small subunit ribosomal RNA
Source: RNAcentral